GCUCGUGUCGUGAGAUGUUGGGUUAAGWCCCGCAACGAGCGCAACCCUCGUUUUUAGUUGCCAUCAUUAAGUUGGGCACUCUAGAGAGACUGCCGGUGACAAACCGGAGGAAGGUGGGGAUGACGUCAAGUCAUCAUGCCCCUUACGCCUUGGGCUACACACGUACUACAAUGGCCGGGACAAAGAGUCGCAAGCAUGCGAAUGCAAGCUAAUCUCAUAAACCCGGUCUUAGUUCAGAUUGCAGGCUGCAACUCGCCUGCAUGAAGGCGGAAUCGCUAGUAAUCGCAGGUCAGCAUACUGCGGUGAAUACGUUCCCGGGCCUUGUACACACCGCCCGUCACACCAUGGAAGCUGGUCACGCCCGAAGUCGUUAUCUCAACCCGCAAGGGAGGGAGGCGCCUAAGGCAGGGCUGGUGACUGGGGUGAAGUCGUAACAAGGUAGCCGUACCGGAAGGUGCGGCUGGAUCACCUCCUUAUAGGGAGA
Molecule: ribosomal RNA, 484 nt
Filed under: Pseudanabaena sp. SR411
Lineage: Bacteria; Bacillati; Cyanobacteriota; Cyanophyceae; Pseudanabaenales; Pseudanabaenaceae
Description: bacterial SSU rRNA
Rfam family: Bacterial small subunit ribosomal RNA
Source: RNAcentral